CCCUUAGAUGCUCUGGGCCGCACGCGCGCUACACUGGUCGAUGCAACGAGUUUCUUUCCUUGGCCGACAGGCCUGGGCAAUCUUUGAACAUCGAUCGUGAUCGGGAUAGAUUCUUGUAAUUUUUGAUCUUAAACGAGGAAUUCCUAGUAAACGCAAGUCAUCAGCUUGCAUUGAUUACGUCCCUGCCCCUUGUACACACCGCCCGUCGCACCUACCGAUUGAAUGGUCCGGUGAAAUCUCCGGACUGGCGUGAGUCGGAGCAAUCUGACAAACGCCGGAAAGUUGAUUAAACCUUACCAUUUAGAGGAAGGUGAAGUCGUAACA
This 324-nucleotide ribosomal RNA is filed under the name uncultured eukaryote. Its description in RNAcentral is "partial 18S ribosomal RNA". It matches the Rfam family "Eukaryotic small subunit ribosomal RNA", at positions 1470 to 1796 of the family's 1831-position model. The record is from RNAcentral.